AUUAGCCGUAGACUGUACAGUGAUUCAUUCGACUGGAGUACGGUGAAGUAGCCUUUGUGUGUCAGUGUACCUGCGGGGUAGCCAGAAUCAGUCUGUGGAGGGUUCAGUCUUUAUGCUUGGAUUUAUCUCGAUUUCGGGGGUCUAGUUAUACUUCAUCAUGUCCAUGAUACGUGGACCGCUAGGAUCUGUGGGGUCUGGGAGCGCGGAUAAAACAGGGAGUACAACGGGAGGCACUACAACGUCAGCAUCAGCAGGGUCUGUCGGAUCCAGAUAUCGAUCAAGUUACAGACGAGAGUCGGACAAUACUGGUCUCAAACGUGAAGAAAUUGGAUACAAGAGGGAAUUAGACAAUAAGAAUAAGGAGUCAGGGGCACAGAUUAACGGGUCGAAUGGGGAUGUUAAUCCGGUUUCGUCAAUGGCACCCUCAUCAACGUCUUCGACCUACGAGCGGUCGUCGUAUGAGCGGCAGAAGUACGUUCCGUACAGCGAGCGGUAUAAUUCUAGCACCGGAUCUACACCGAGCACGACGACUAAUACAACUACAGAAUCUAAACAACAGAAUCCUCUUAGUGUCAAACGAGAACGGGAGGCCUUUUUCUCCAAGAGUGACUCGCAGUAUCAGCCCAAGUUUGACCCCCACGGCCACAAGCCGAAUGACAAACUCAAUUCAGAGAAAGAGGACAAUAUACAAAAUACGCCAAAAUUGGACAAACUUUACAAAGAAAAUACAAAUGUCGAUGGAUAUGUUGGCUUCGCUAAUCUUCCCAAUCAAGUUUACAGAAAGUCGGUAAAACGGGGAUUUGAAUUUAAUUUAAUGGUCGUAGGUGAAUCUGGCCUCGGCAAGUCAACACUGAUCAACUCUCUCUUCCUCACAGACCUUUAUAAUGCAGAACACCCAGGACCAUCCCACAGAAUAAAGAAAACUGUCGCAGUUGAGACUAAUCAGGUGCUACUAAAGGAAGGAGGAGUCUCUCUCAAGUUGACAGUGGUGGAUACGCCCGGUUUCGGUGAUGCUGUGGACAACAGCAAUUGUUGGCAGCCUGUUAUCGACUAUAUCAACAACAAAUACGAUGAAUAUCUUAACGCGGAAUCGCGCGUCUGCCGCAAGGUCAUGCCCGACACACGAAUACAUUGCUGCCUCUACUUCAUCACACCAUCAGGACACGGGUUGAAACCGCUCGACGUCGAGUUCAUGAAGCGGCUACACGACAAGGUGAACAUCAUUCCACUGAUCGCCAAGGCAGACACCCUCACACCAGACGAGUGCAGAGAAUUCAAGAAAACGAUUUUGAACGAGAUCGCUCAGCACAAGAUCAAAAUCUACGAGUUCCCCGACCUCGAUGAUGAAGAAGAGAACAAAGCACAGAAAAAGCUCAAGGAGCGUGUUCCAUUUGCCGUGGUUGGCAGCAAUGCCCUGAUCGAUGUUGGUGGAAAGAAAGUCAGAGGCCGCAUCUACCCGUGGGGUGUAGUGGAAGUGGAGAACCUUUCGCACAAUGACUUCAUCGCACUCCGAAACAUGCUCAUCAGGUCAGCGAAAACCAUGGAAGAGAAAAUAGCACGCUGCUCCAUCUGGACACACAUGCAGGACCUGAAGGAUAUGACCAACAACAUCCACUAUGAGAACUUCCGGUACAACAAGCUGGCUACCGUCACGACCCAAGAUGGCAAAGUCAAGGCCAACCCCAACACCAAAGAUCAGAAUGCAGCAGAUCUGCUCGAAGUUGAUAAGAACAACGUGGCCCUUUACGAAACUCUUAGCGCCACCAAGCGGCUGGCCAAUGUAUCGCCUCUCCUGCAGAUGGAGGAAGAGAAGAAGGAGCAUGAUAUGAAACUCAAGAAGAUGGAGGCAGAAAUGGAACAGGUGUUUGAGAUGAAGGUCAAGGAGAAACAGGACAAGCUCAAGUUGUCCGAGGCAGACCUGGGACGCCAUGCCGAACAGAUGAAGCGAACCCUCGAACAGCAAUCGCGGGAACACGAGGAGAAGCGCCAACAAUUCGAGAAGGAGCGCCUCUCGUGGGAGGAGUCGCAGAAGUUGGAGGAACAGCGCCGACGAUCGUUAGAGAAUUCUAAAGAUUCCAGAUGGGGCACCAUGGGCGGUAAUCCGAAAUCUCGUCAACGGAAGUGGUGGGAUUAGGAUGAAGGAUACGCGAAUCUCGUCAUUCUUGACCUGGCAACAAGAUGACCCUGAGGACUUGGUUCCAUUGAUGGGAAGGAUAAGCACAAGAAAGAAAAGAAGAAAGGCAUCUUUACUUAGGCGCACAGCCCCGUCAUUCAAGAAACGUGCGUCAAGAAAAUAUACGUCAAUGAAAAAGUCCGAUACGAGGUCGCUCAUUUCUUCCGAGACGAACAGCGACGGGAUGAGUUUGAAAAAAGAUGGCGACGACGAAUCUGUUAGUCGUCGCGAGGGGAGCAUCACGGACGUCUCGGAUUUGUCGGAGUUUGAUUACAUGACGACGACGGAGGACGAAGGGGUAUUGUCACCGCACAGCAGUGACGAUGAUAUGCCACGUCGCCGCGGGAAGAAGGGGAAAUGGGGGAAGUAUACAAAAGCAGAGAACAGGACAGAGCUGUGAUGUGGAGAAUUUGACUUGAACAUAUCAGGAAGACUGUUUGAAUUUGAAUCAGUUCAGCUCCGGCUGUGUAGCUGGGCCAAAAUUGGUGCCAAAUAUAAACAAUUGUAAAAUACAUCAGUAGCAGCUGUUCAUAACGAUAAGAAUAUUAGAGUUUCAUUCCAAAAAGAGUUGCUUUUCCAUAGCCAAUGCCACUAAAACAAGACGCAGUGCUUUAUUCAGUGUAAACAGUGUGCUCUGCUGUUUUAGAAUAUUGUAUAAUAGAUUGUAUAAAUCCAUGCAGUCAUGGUCGUAUAAAAAGUUUUCAAUUCUAAAAGUUUCGAUUCAUAUUUUUCUUCGGAUGUAAAUAAAAAUGUUUCGUUUGACGUCGGAAACAUCUGGUGAACAGCUGUAUUUCUCCCUGCCUUCGACAUUGUGACGAAAAUUAGCCAUGUUCUCUUGAGAAUAUUGCAAGAAGCUGUUCUGUUCUCUGCUUGGACAAUAAAUGAUUGGCUAGUCUUGACUCUCUGCCGUGUGAACCCGAGAAGAUGUCUCUCCCAAUCUUUUCUUGGGCAGCUGGGCAUGAAAUCUUUAUGUCUCAUUAACCAAAACGCUUUUCAUAUAUCAUUCAUUAUCUCUGUCGAUUGUAAAUGUACGCGCAAUGAAACUUGAUGUUGUUUGAAAUUUGCAGUGGCAAAUUUGCAUAGAGUAGUUUAAAAUUGGGAAAAUACAUUCAGAAAUGGGGUUAGUUUGAUGUUUUUGGCAAAUUUUCAUAUCACCCGAAAAGAUAGACAUCAAGAUUUCAUUGUGCUUAACCUGUCACCCCUCCAAUUCCGAAUAGACUGUCAUCACCUUGUUAUUGGUGCGGUCCAUUCUGAACUGGAAGGGAAGACAGGGUGUCAUUUGUGUAAGUAACACUAGAUGGGGAUCUUUUGGUCCUAAGUUGAUUGAGCCGUAGUCUUAAUAUAUAAUAAUUCGAAAUUGCGAUGAGAGCGUAGAUAAAAAGCAUGAUUGUAACUGUGUGUUAAAAUGUUGCCAUUUUCACUUCGAGUUGUUCAAGGGGUUCCCGUAUUUGGAAAUGUAUGCCAAAAUUGACAUGAAUUUAUGUAUUUCCUGCCAAACUCAUGUGUGGUGUUAUCAAAGAAAUACAAAAGGCACAAAAAUUGAUGUGCGAUUUGAAUAAUGUGCUUCAGUUUGGACCAAAAGUUGUUCAUUGUGAGAUAGUGAAACUGUGGUGCAUUUGGUAAAGAUUUAACUAUUAGGCAGAUGAAAUAAGUCGAGGUUGCUUAAUUUACAUUCCUUCAUUAUGUUUUGAGAAAGAUUUAUCACAAACCCAACCUGGCCAAUGAAGAUCAUGCUUAAAAACCCUACUCAUACUCAAAACAUAUUUCUCAGCCAUGCUUGCCUGUUUUUAUCAUCUAAGCCACGUCUGUCGUGAAUUUUAGUACAAUAAAACAUUCUAACUUUGCCACCCCAAAGGACAGUAAAAUGAGGUAUCCUCAGAAAGUGUUUCUAUUGUGAUGAAAGGAAUUUCGAUGCAAUAGAAAUAUUAUCCAUUUUGUCGCUUGGCAAAUGUUUCAGGGAGUAGAAAAGUAACCCAGAGGUGGCAAAAUUAGCAUGUUCUAUGCUACAGAGCUAUCUACACCAUGUAUUUAAUCUGUACUCAGUUUGAAUUCCGUAUAGCCAGGCAAACCUAUUAUCCCAGUUCGAUUUUUACUUCCAAUCAGUGGUAAUUGCUUGGCUGGAAGUGGUAGCCAAGAUUUUUUUGAACGAUGGCUAUUUGCCAUCAUUGUAGCAAAGACAUUAGUUUCGGAAUUUCAAUCUCUCUCAUUAUUUCCGCACUUAUGAACUAUGACAAAAGUAGCGUAGAAAAUGGAAGAAAUCAUCAGAGUAACAUCAGGGAGUAUUUCUACUAAGGUGUUUUCUAAACUGAAGACGGCCAACGCCAACUUUAAUUGACUGGACUAUCGACUACAAGAUGACUGGACUAAUUAAGACACAGACACAGAUGUCUCUACAUUCAGACACGGAUGUCUUUAUAACUGCCAUUCACACUGUAUAUAUUAGAUUCAGUAGUAUUUUCUGUAGAACGUUAAUUCAUCAAAUAAUACUUGUAACGUGUUGCGGUAGAUUAAUUAAUAUAUGGCGAGGUUCGAGGCGAGUGCCUUGCAUUUUGCUCACAAUGAAAGUGCAUUAAUGAAAUUGUCGGUUUUAACUUAUUCGCGUGAUGUUGUGCAUAUUUUGUAAAAUUUGCAGACAAAUUCGUAGAUUUCUUUGUCGACUGCCUGGCUGGAAAUGGGGUCGUGUAUGUAGUUGUGAAAAACGUGGUAUCGUAACUAUUAAUGACGAGUAUAAUUUCUCAUAGAGUAAACUAAUAUCCUACAAUUUUUCUAGAACUGUACGUAUUAGUGUGAAGUUGUUCUAGACUGUUUUUGGAAGCUGUAUAAACAGUUAAUGGUUUAAAAUUAUGACAUUUUUUACCGAUGAUGACUAGUUUGAUUUCAAUCAGUUAUGUGGUGGACAAUGUUGCUUACAUGUUAAUGUCAUUAUGACUAGAUAUUUGUACUUUUUGGUGUACAUCCAGCAGAUAAUCUUAAAAUUACGUAAAUCCUUCAAAGCGUUAUUCUUUCCCAAACUUCUCAUUUGUCUAAGUUGACACCUAUCUUGCUCUUGGAAGUUGCAGAGGGUAGAGGGUACCAAGUGAUCAGCCCAAUCAGAGGCUUGAGAAAAUGAGCCUUCCGACAUGUACCUACUGAAGGUGGGGUGACACUGACCCGGAGCGGGGUGACACUGACCCGGAGCGGGGUGACACUGACCCAGAGCGGGGUGACACUGACCCAGAGCGGGGUGAAAGUGUCCCAAUACAUUUUCCACCCUUCAGCCUGAGCCAUACAAUGUAGAUGGUAAAUCUUCUGUUCCAACUGAAUCGCUGUACAAAGUCAUGUCAAAGAUAACCCAGCUUAUCAUAGUUUAGCACAAAUGAGAUUUUGAGACCUGGGGCGAUUUCAACCCACUGGGCCUAUUCACCCCACUUAGCGGUACCCUGUAUCAAAACGUAGGGUUGGAAACAUGAAGCAUUAGAAUAUCUAAGAUAGUGAACCCAACCUCGAAGAUUAUACAUCGACUCCACCAACCUAACAAAUCUCGAUAUGUGCACCAGGGAAUACGUUUUUUUCGCUGCCUUGUAUGUCUUAUGUACUAAAUUACGCUGUAAACAUCGCUUUGUAAUUGUAGGGUCUUCUUGAUCAUCUCAUAGUCUGUUCCAUGACAUUCAUGUAUUCAGUAGUCAUGUAAAGUAAAGGGACCCAGCCUAUCACAUUGCAAGUUAUGAUUUUGAAGAACCAAUUUGGUAGGCCUACAUAAUUCUGUGCAAUGAAAUUUUUCCAGCACAUUUUUUUUUAUCACUGUGUUACGACGAAAUAAAUAUUUCAGGGCAGAGUCAGAAUAGGACAAAAGGUCACAUUCUUAUUUGAAGCAAUAUGCUGCGUGGAUUAAUUGAUUGUAAACAUUUUCAACAACGUGAAAGACCCCUAUGUUGUCCCUUAAAAUUCUCUUGCUUUUAGUCGUAAGAAUUAGUUCUGCAUCAUUCUGUAAAUGUGUUCAAAUGUACGAGGUCCCAAAUCAAACAGCUUAUGUACAGCCAAUAGCCUGUAUGAAGUUUUUAUAUACAGAAUAAAGUCCAAAUUUAAUGGA
RNA transcript from Lineus longissimus, 6242 nucleotides. It is a transcript of the gene named septin-7-like, with no coding region annotated. Lineage: Eukaryota; Metazoa; Nemertea; Pilidiophora; Heteronemertea; Lineidae. The record is from RefSeq and is a predicted model, not a curated record. The transcript is spliced from 18 exons.